RNAcentral lists this ribosomal RNA (253 nucleotides) under uncultured bacterium. Its description in RNAcentral is "partial 16S ribosomal RNA". It matches the Rfam family "Bacterial small subunit ribosomal RNA", at positions 524 to 776 of the family's 1533-position model. The record is from RNAcentral.
UACAUAGGGUGCGAGCGUUAAUCGGAAUUACUGGGCGUAAAGCGUGCGUAGGCGGUUACGUAAGUCGGGUGUGAAAGCCCCGGGCUCAACCUGGGAAUUGCAUUCGAGACUGCGUAGCUAGGGUGCGGAAGAGGGAAGUGGAAUUUCCGGUGUAGCGGUGAAAUGCGUAGAUAUCGGAAGGAACAUCAGUGGCGAAAGCGACUUCCUGGACCAGUACCGACGUUCAGGCACGAAAGCGUGGGGAGCAAACAGG